Molecule: long non-coding RNA, 1213 nt
Organism: Rattus norvegicus (Norway rat)
Lineage: Eukaryota; Metazoa; Chordata; Mammalia; Rodentia; Muridae
Source: RefSeq, a predicted model, not a curated record
GAUGCGGGGUGGGUAGGGGGAGGUGUUGAGCACUGAAUCCAGGGUCUGGCCCAUGCUAGGCAAACACCCUAAGUCGUAUUCCCAGAAGCACAUAGUUUUAAAUUUUUUGUAAGGAUGGAAUCCAAAAAAGGAUCUAACUAGACCUGGUCGGUACACUCUAGCCAGCAUGAUUUACCAAUGAAAACUCGACCACAGCGCAGAAUACCUCCACUCUGUUCCUCUGUUCCUCCCACUGACCCUUUACACAGGAAACCCAGCUGGUGAACUCCCCACCUCCAGGGCAGGGAAGCAUAGCCACAAAGCAAGCUAGCUAGCAAGCGAGCGAGCGAGCUCGCUCUCUCUGGCGCCCCCACCCCCGCCCCAGGGUGUCUGAGAAGGACGAUCGAUCGGAACCUCUGAGGUAGUUGCACCUGCUCAGGGCUCGUGCCUUUUCUGCUAGGACUCAGAUGGGAGCCACCUGGAUGCCACACACAGCCCAAACAAGGAAGCUUUGUAUCCUGUGACAGUUCCGCAACUGGAGCUCUGUCUUGCUCCACUCUCCGGUGACCUUUGGAGCCGAUACCUUUGGGGGCGUGGUCAGCUCACACAGGGCAGUCUUUUUCCAGAAGCCCUGUUUGUGGAACUCAGUGACGUGACUUGAGAGUCCUACUAAAAUGAUACUGCUGGGGAUGGGGAAAGGCACCGCCUUAGCUCGAAGGUUCUGGAUCUUUCUGUAGGAUUGCUAGGAAUUCGGAAAACAUAUCUGAUGGUCUUCAUAAGCCACAGAACCUGCUGCAAUAAAAAUUCAGGACCGACUUUUUCAAAAAAAGGAGAAGAUAGUAUCUAUAGAAGUGUGUCGGAAUGGAACGAACAUGCGUAAGAACUAAGCCCAUGUGACCUUCCAGUGUGGCCUUACACUUUUCCCGAGUGUUUCCUGGGACUCUCAAAAAACAAGACCAAUCCCUUGUUCAUCGCUGAAGACAUCUUAACUCUCUUCCUGCCACCCUGGAACCUAGGGCUCUUCUACCCUAGCAGCCAUGACUCUUUCCAAUAUGCAGGAACCAGCCUAGGAUCGUGCUUGGGUUGUCAACCCUUUAAGACAAUGGUUCAGAGAGCAGAGUACACAGCGUCUGCAAGACACCGAACUGUGACUCUCUCUCGGAGAUCCACAUCCAUUCUCUUUCUGUUAUGCUCUAUUCUAAAAAUACAAUAAAAAAAUCUCGUAAUAAAAACC